RNAcentral lists this small nuclear RNA (152 nucleotides) under Oryza sativa Indica Group (long-grained rice). Its description in RNAcentral is "U2 spliceosomal RNA". The record is from RNAcentral. Lineage: Eukaryota; Viridiplantae; Streptophyta; Magnoliopsida; Poales; Poaceae.
AUUUUUUUUUGUAAGUCACAGUGUAAUUUAUGAAACUUACAUUGUAACUUUUGUAAGUUACAAUGUAAUUUUUUAAUCUUUGCAUGUAAGUUUUAAAAUUUAUAUUGGAUUUUGUCUUUUUCUUGAAGAUAUAGUAAUUUAGUGUUCAUUAU